RNAcentral lists this long non-coding RNA (956 nucleotides) under Olea europaea subsp. europaea. The record is from RNAcentral. Lineage: Eukaryota; Viridiplantae; Streptophyta; Magnoliopsida; Lamiales; Oleaceae.
GAGAUAUCUUGCCAUCAACAGCAUUGUCCACAAAUUCCAAGUGACAUCCAGUAAUUUUUAACUUCAUUCGUUCUCUUCCAUGAAGAGUUACAAGCAUUUCACAACAUAAACUAAUAGCCAUAGAAGAAGAAGGGGCCCAUACCCAUAGCAGUCAUGAAAUCCUUACAAACUAUCAUUGAAAAUAACUGAAGACUACCAUACGGCAAGAGCAAAAGUUAUCUCUACAAAAUAUAAGUCUACCGUGCCAUUAAAGGAUCAUAGUUUCCAACAAAAAACACAUAGUUUAAAAAACAGCAAAUCCCAGUCUUUCUAUACACAUGAAUCAUGGCCUUCUCCUUUGCUAUUCACGUCCGUGCUUCGCUUUCCUUACAGAAUGUCACGUUCAAUGAAAUCUCAAUGUCUCAUUUUUCAGCUAUUUGAGCUAGACUAUCGAACAUGGUUGGCAAAUCUUCAACUUCUUUGAUGGGUGCAGGAUUAAUUGACUCAUUAAUAUUAUUUGAUUCAUCGCUUGAUUCUUCAUUCACAACCCAAUCAAAAUUCCACAAUUAUUACUGCAGGUUUUGAAUAAUCGUCCUCUGUUAUUAGUCUCGCGUUCAACCUCAAAACAUUUCUGCAAUCCUUAUGCACACCAUGGACAUCAUCGUUUUAUCGGUUAAUCCCUAAAGAAGUGCUUCAUGCUUCUAUAGCCAUGACAAACACCAGCAUUCUGUCCUCCCAUCCUGGACAGAAAAUCAGCAAAUAAAAUCAGGAAGAAAAAUUCUAGAUCAAUCCCUUAGUUUUCAAAGUUCUCUAUCUCAGCCAAUCCAACCUUUUUCAUAGAUUCUAAAUAACAAUGCAUAUGCCUCCAACAAUCUUUCAUCCAAUGCAUAUAUUAUUCUAUUGAUUACGAAAGCCUGAUGACGUAGUACUACAAAUCGCGAGUACUUCCUGUAAGUGUUAUGCCCUAGAUCCAAUCG